Molecule: small RNA, 121 nt
Filed under: Klebsiella quasipneumoniae subsp. similipneumoniae
Lineage: Bacteria; Pseudomonadati; Pseudomonadota; Gammaproteobacteria; Enterobacterales; Enterobacteriaceae
Also listed under: 1 other name
Description: RtT sRNA
Rfam family: RtT RNA
About the family: This family represents a bacterial cis-regulatory element known as RtT RNA. The exact function of RtT is unknown although it is thought that it may be involved in changing the cellular response in relation to amino acid starvation.
Source: RNAcentral
UAUUCUGCCCUACGGGGAAGGAUGAGAAGGUUCGACUCGAGCGUAGCGAGAGAACGUGGCCGCAGGCAACGGCCCGAAGGGCGAGGCGCUUUAGCGCCGAGUCAUCCUUCCCCCACCGCUG